RNAcentral lists this ribosomal RNA (484 nucleotides) under uncultured bacterium. RNAcentral describes it as "bacterial SSU rRNA". It matches the Rfam family "Bacterial small subunit ribosomal RNA", at positions 28 to 523 of the family's 1533-position model. The record is from RNAcentral.
GAUGAACGCUAGCGGCAGGCUUAAUACAUGCAAGUCAAGGGGGUAGCAAUACAACCGGCGCACGGGUGAGUAACGCGUACACAACAUACCAUAUACUGGAGUAUAGCUUUGGGAAACUGAAGGUAAUCCUCCAUAACAUUGCGAGAGGGCAUCUGAUUGCAAUUAAAGUUUCGGCGGUAUAUGAUUGGUGUGCGUUUGAUUAGCUAGUUGGUAGGGUAACGGCCUACCAAGGCGACGAUCAAUAGCUGGCGUGAGGGCGCGACCAGCCACACUGGAACUGAGACACGGUCCAGACUCCUACGGGAGGCAGCAGUAGGGAAUAUUGGACAAUGGAGGAAACUCUGAUCCAGCCAUGCCGCGUGAUAGAUGAAGGCCCUCUGGGUUGUAAAUAUCUUUUAUCUGGGAAGAAACACUCCUAUUCUUAGGAACUUGACGGUACCAGAGGAAUAAGCACCGGCUAACUCCGUGCCAGCAGCCGCGGUAA